UUCCACUGGAACACAAGUGCUCUGGCCAAAC
This 31-nucleotide non-coding RNA is filed under the name Homo sapiens (human). The record is from RNAcentral. Lineage: Eukaryota; Metazoa; Chordata; Mammalia; Primates; Hominidae.